GCUUUUGUCAGGGGAAGUAAACCCCCGUUCCGUGAACGGGGUUGGAAUGUACUCUGAGAAUAAGGAUCGGCUAACUCCGUGC
Molecule: ribosomal RNA, 82 nt
Filed under: uncultured bacterium
Lineage: Bacteria
Description: partial 16S ribosomal RNA
Source: RNAcentral